AGCAGCCGCGGUAAUUCCAGCUCCAAUAGCGUAUAUUAAAGUUGUUGCAGUUAAAAAGCUCGUAGUUGAAUUUCGGGAUCAGUACGCUGGUCGUGCCUUCGGUAUGCACUGGUGUCGCUGAUCCCUCCCUUCUGAAGAACCAUCAUGCCAUUCACUUGGUGUGGUGGGGAAUCAGGACUGUUACUUUGAAAAAAUUAGAGUGUUUAAAGCAGGCUCACGCUUGAAUACAUUAGCAUGGAAUAAUGAAAUAGGACGUUCGAACCUAUUUUGUUGGUUUCUAGGAUCGACGUAAUGAUUAAUAGGGAUAGUUGGGGGCAUUAGUAUUCAAUUGUCAGAGGUGAAAUUCUUGGAUUUAUUGAAGACUAACUACUGCGAAAGCAUUUGCCAAGGAUGUUUUCAUUAAUCAAGAACGAAAGUUAGGGGAUCGAAGACGAUCAGAUACCGUCGUAGUCUUAACCAUAAACUAUGCCGACUAGGGAUCGGAUGAUGUUAAUUUUAUAAUGUA
RNAcentral lists this ribosomal RNA (505 nucleotides) under uncultured Glomus. RNAcentral's name for it is "SSU rRNA". It matches the Rfam family "Eukaryotic small subunit ribosomal RNA", at positions 569 to 1078 of the family's 1831-position model. The record is from RNAcentral. Lineage: Eukaryota; Fungi; Glomeromycota; Glomeromycetes; Glomerales; Glomeraceae.